Molecule: ribosomal RNA, 575 nt
Filed under: uncultured bacterium
Lineage: Bacteria
Description: bacterial SSU rRNA
Rfam family: Bacterial small subunit ribosomal RNA
Source: RNAcentral
UCGACGGUACAGGCCGCAAGGUGCUGACGAGUGGCGAACGGGUGAGUAAUGCAUCGGAACGUGCCCAGUCGUGGGGGAUAACGCAGCGAAAGCUGCGCUAAUACCGCAUACGAUCUAUGGAUGAAAGCGGGGGACCGUAAGGCCUCGCGCGAUUGGAGCGGCCGAUGUCAGAUUAGGUAGUUGGUGGGGUAAAGGCUCACCAAGCCAACGAUCUGUAGCUGGUCUGAGAGGACGACCAGCCACACUGGGACUGAGACACGGCCCAGACUCCUACGGGAGGCAGCAGUGGGGAAUUUUGGACAAUGGGCGCAAGCCUGAUCCAGCAAUGCCGCGUGCAGGAAGAAGGCCUUCGGGUUGUAAACUGCUUUUGUACGGAACGAAAAGGCUCUGGUUAAUACCUGGGGCACAUGACGGUACCGUAAGAAUAAGCACCGGCUAACUACGUGCCAGCAGCCGCGGUAAUACGUAGGGUGCAAGCGUUAAUCGGAAUUACUGGGCGUAAAGCGUGCGCAGGCGGUUUUGUAAGACAGGCGUGAAAUCCCCGGGCUUAACCUGGGAAUUGCGCUUGUGACUGC